This is a non-coding RNA of Delphinapterus leucas (beluga whale), 144 nucleotides long. NCBI's taxonomy places the organism in Eukaryota, Metazoa, Chordata, Mammalia, Artiodactyla, Monodontidae. The record is from Ensembl.
GGCCUCUCUCCCAUGGGGCUGUGUGGGGGCGGGGAGGGGACCUCGUCUCCUCAGCCCUUGGGCUGGAAGCGCCGAUCAGCCCUGGGGGAUCCCUGUCGGGGCUGCCACGAGCUGGGCAGCCUUGUUUUCCUACCUCAGACGUUU